RNAcentral lists this ribosomal RNA (531 nucleotides) under uncultured bacterium. RNAcentral's name for it is "bacterial SSU rRNA". It matches the Rfam family "Bacterial small subunit ribosomal RNA", at positions 796 to 1332 of the family's 1533-position model. The record is from RNAcentral.
CACGCCCUAAACGAUGUCAACUAGUUGUUGGGGAUUCAUUUCCUUAGUAACGUAGCUAACGCGUGAAGUUGACCGCCUGGGGAGUACGGUCGCAAGAUUAAAACUCAAAGGAAUUGACGGGGACCCGCACAAGCGGUGGAUGAUGUGGAUUAAUUCGAUGCAACGCGAAAAACCUUACCUACCCUUGACAUGGUCGGAAUCCCGCUGAGAGGUGGGAGUGCUCGAAAGAGAACCGGCGCACAGGUGCUGCAUGGCUGUCGUCAGCUCGUGUCGUGAGAUGUUGGGUUAAGUCCCGCAACGAGCGCAACCCUUGUCCUUAGUUGCUACGCAAGAGCACUCUAAGGAGACUGCCGGUGACAAACCGGAGGAAGGUGGGGAUGACGUCAAGUCCUCAUGGCCCUUAUGGGUAGGGCUUCACACGUCAUACAAUGGUCGGAACAGAGGGUUGCCAACCCGCGAGGGGGAGCUAAUCCCAGAAAACCGAUCGUAGUCCGGAUUGCACUCUGCAACUCGAGUGCAUGAAGCUGGAAU